CAGCCGCCGCGGGAAUACGAGGGGGGCAAGCGUUGUUCGGAAUUAUUGGGCGUAAAGGGCGCGUAGGCGGUUUGGCAAGUUUGGUGUGAAAUCUUCGGGCUCAACUCGAAGUCUGCAUCGAAAACUGCCGGGCUUGAGUAUGGGAGAGGUGAGUGGAAUUUCCGGUGUAGCGGUGAAAUGCGUAGAUAUCGGAAGGAACACCUGUGGCGAAAGCGGCUCACUGGACCAUUACUGACGCUGAGGCGCGAAAGCUAGGGGAGCAAACAGGAUUAGAGACCCCGGUAGUCCCUGUCUCUUAUAC
RNAcentral lists this ribosomal RNA (301 nucleotides) under uncultured bacterium. Its description in RNAcentral is "partial 16S ribosomal RNA". It matches the Rfam family "Bacterial small subunit ribosomal RNA", at positions 509 to 807 of the family's 1533-position model. The record is from RNAcentral.